RNAcentral lists this ribosomal RNA (563 nucleotides) under uncultured bacterium. RNAcentral's name for it is "bacterial SSU rRNA". It matches the Rfam family "Bacterial small subunit ribosomal RNA", at positions 1 to 548 of the family's 1533-position model. The record is from RNAcentral.
GCAAUGAACUAGGCUUAAGUUGAUCCUGGCUCAGAAACAAGGCGUAUAGGCAGGCCUAACACAUGCAGUCGAACGGUAGCGCAGAGAGCUUGCUCUCGGGUGACGGGUGGCGGACGGGUGAGUAAUGUCUGGGAAACUGCCCGAUGGAGGGGGAUAACUACUGGAAACGGUAGCUAAUACCGCAUAACGUCUUCGGACCAAAGUGGGGGACCUUCGGGCCUCACACCAUCGGAUGUGCCCAGAUGGGAUUAGCUAGUAGGUGGGGUAAUGGCUCACCUAGGCGACGAUCCCUAGCUGGUCUGAGAGGAUGACCAGCCACACUGGAACUGAGACACGGUCCAGACUCCUACGGGAGGCAGCAGUGGGGAAUAUUGCACAAUGGGCGCAAGCCUGAUGCAGCCAUGCCGCGUGUAUGAAGAAGGCCUUCGGGUUGUAAAGUACUUUCAGCGGGGAGGAAGGCGAUGGAGUUAAUAGCUUCAUCGAUUGACGUUACCCGCAGAAGAAGCACCGGCUAACUCCGUGCCAGCAGCCGCGGUAAUACGGAGGGUGCAAGCGUUAAUCGG